CCCUUAGAUGUUCUGGGCCGCACGCGCGCUACACUGAUGCAUUCAACGAGUCUAAAACCUGCUCUGAUAGGGGUGGGUAAUCUUUUGAAUGUGCAUCGUGAUUGGGAUAGAUGAUUGCAAUUUUUCAUCUUCAACGAGGAAUGCCUAGUAAACGCAAGUCAUCAGCUUGCAUUGAUUACGUCCCUGCCCUUUGUACCCACCGCCCGUCGCUCCUACCGAUUGAAUGAUCCGAUGAAUAUCAUGGAUUGAGGAUGCAAGUAGGUUAGCCUAUCUUCAUCUUCGAGAAGUGAAGUAAAUCUUAUCAUUUAGAGGAAGGAGAAGUCGUAACA
Molecule: ribosomal RNA, 329 nt
Filed under: uncultured eukaryote
Lineage: Eukaryota
Description: partial 18S ribosomal RNA
Rfam family: Eukaryotic small subunit ribosomal RNA
Source: RNAcentral